UUAGCAGAAGCUAAUUGAUAGCGCUUCAUUGUUAAUGAAGAGGAAGGGAUGACCCCUGUUAAG
This 63-nucleotide transfer RNA is filed under the name Artemia franciscana. RNAcentral's name for it is "tRNA-Asn". Lineage: Eukaryota; Metazoa; Arthropoda; Branchiopoda; Anostraca; Artemiidae. RNAcentral also lists the same sequence under 2 other names. The record is from RNAcentral.